Non-coding RNA from Myodes glareolus (Bank vole), 2428 nucleotides. The record is from RefSeq and is a predicted model, not a curated record. Lineage: Eukaryota; Metazoa; Chordata; Mammalia; Rodentia; Cricetidae.
UAGCAAAGUGGCUAAGAAGCUGGGCUCUGGGUGAGAUAAACUCAGCCCCUACCCCUCACUCUGCUUGUCUGCAAAAUGGGGACGUCUGAGGUCAUCUACCCAUAGGCCUGCUGAGAGGUGUACAGAGUAAUGCAUACAGGAUCCUUAUCCCAGGGCAGCAGGGCUCCAUUGGCAUUUGCUACUGUGAUUAUUCGUGGAGCGAGCGUUGCCGGUAGAGGAGGCCCCUGGUGUGCCAGGAGGAUGAGAACAAACAAACAGUUACGAGAACUGAACACAGGACCGUGAGUUGUGAGCGUGCGGGCCGUGAACACAGCGAGGGCAAACAGGAACGUGUCUCCGGAAGCUACCACGAUCUGGGGGAUAGUCUGCACCCCGCCACAACAGAGAUUAUACAUAUGUAAAAUUAUGCAUAUGUCCACGUGGGAACAGUGCAAUGCUCACAGAGCCCAGAAGAUGAUGUCAGAGCCCCUGAAGCUAGAGUUACAGAAGGUUGCAAGUUACCCAAGGCUGGCCUCAAACUCCUGAAUUCAAGAAAACCUCCCAGUUCAGCCUCCCAAAUAACUGACAACAGGCGCCCUGCACCCAGGAGGCUUGGUCCAGGUGGAGAACUCGGGGGACUCUAAUCACUGACUGCAGGCCUGGCCUCGGACAGCAGAAGCGCAGAGAGCAGCCCUGCAUGAGGGCCGAGGAGGACAGGUGUUUGAAGAUGGAAAAAUUAAGUCCUGACGCUGUACAACAACCUACAGUGAAUGUUCCAGAGAACUGACUGGAUGCAGCCUGGGGAAAAAGAGUCUUUUCAAAAUUUCAAUUUCGGGGCACAUGGACCAUAGGCCAAGGACACACGGGCUGCGAACCAGGGAAAGCCCAGCUGCGCCUCGGUUGCAAAUUUGCAAAGAAAAGAAAGCGAUUCAAAGGAUGCCAGUAUGACGUGGGCAGGACGCAGGGUAAAGGAUAAGAGCUGUGUAUUGGAAUCUUCCAGGUAUCGUACUGGGGAUGAAGGUGCCAGCGAAUCCACUUGCACAAGAAAGGAGUCGGACGGAAGACCUUCUAGAACAUUUCCUUUUGGGCAAGGGUGUCCCUUUUCCCCAUUUCUUCUUGUCCUCUCUAAAAGGCCUCCUGUACUUCCUUCUAGUGUCAUGAAAGCUGGCAAACCUGACUGGUCUGGCAGAGACGAGAGGGGACGCAGCCUGUCAAGCAAAGAUGGGUAUGCCACCCUUGACUCUGGGCCCUUCUCGUCCUUUCCCUCGGCCUCAGUUCCCCCUCGAGGCGAUAAGAUUGCCUUGAGGCCAUGUUCUUCAAAGGGGAGUUUCAUUAAUGACUGACAGUUGUUGUUUUCAUGAUCUGAGGGCUAACAUGGAGGUCGGAGGGGAGGGCGGGGUGCAGAGCCGAGCUCCAAAGCUCAGACAAAGUUAACUGCAGGCCCUUUAAGCAAGAUCCAAACAGAAACAUUUCCCUCUUAAUUAAUGGCUGCCUUUGAGGUUAUUAAGUUAGACUGGGUAGGUGUGUGGCCUUUCUUUCUACUGCCCUUCCAAUUAACAGGCACUUUGCUUGGUAAAUGUUAAUUUAGAGUAAUUGGGUGUGCAGAGGAGGGGCGGGAGUGAAGGCCUGUACUGCAGGUUAAUUGCUGGUAAGUGUCGUUCCUGCAGCCUUGGGCCUGGAUGAUUAAUGGCCUCAGAGUACUGGAGAAACCCCUGAGGCCAGCAGAGGCUGCCUGGUUUUAACCCUUCGGUUACCAGAAUGAGAAAAAUAGCAGAGGCACUCACUGGGUGCAGAGCAGGGGCCCUGUGGGGGUGCUACUCCCCCUGUGGGCCACUUCCGGCCAUACAUCUCCAACGCUGAAUAUUGCCCAAGGUAAGCUCAGCCCUAACCGCAUCACUCUAUAGGUAGAAGGACUAAGCAAUUGAACUAGAGAUCGCCCUGAGAUGUUGUGACCUGGAGAAAUAAAAUCAGUUUCUACCCUUCCCUCCAACACCCAACGCCGAGUUUCUGCUGUCACUUAGCAACCCUUCCAUCCACAUCAGUCUGGGACAGCUAGGAUGAUGCUAGUAUGUUGGCUUAGUGUAGCGAUGACAGAGUUUUGAAGAAGGCAUCGAAGUUCAAGGGCCCUGGUAAGGGACAGUAUUCCUGCAGCAAAGGGGUCUGCAGCAUCUCUUGGAAGGCCUCAGGGGCUCAGCAGAGACUGCCCUGUAGAUUUCCUUGUGGAGGAAGACUUCCCUGAACACAGGGAUGCUGAGUCCUCCCACUGUCCAGCCUUCCUUUCUAUAGGUUUCAAAUUUUGGGCUCUUCUAGCCAGCCCCAUAAUUACAUAAGCCAAUUCCUUGCAGCAGAUCUUAGUGUAUACCUCGUGCAGGUUCUGGUGUUUAACGUCAGUCCAUCAGAUAGAUUUACAGCCCAGAUUUUUGUUCUUUUAAAAAAAUAAUAUGAUAUA